Oncorhynchus tshawytscha (Chinook salmon) is the source of this 270-nucleotide long non-coding RNA. RefSeq lists it as uncharacterized. Lineage: Eukaryota; Metazoa; Chordata; Actinopteri; Salmoniformes; Salmonidae. The record is from RefSeq and is a predicted model, not a curated record. The transcript is spliced from 4 exons.
CGUCAAUAACAUAAAUGGCCACUCGCGAGAGGGGGCGGAUCCAGACAGCCGAGGCCAAGUAAAACGGCACGGAGAACCUCGGUGAUCGUUUAGGGAGCUAACCAAAACAAUAUCAGGCAGUCACCUCUGCCAACUAUUAGCGAAGAAGAGGUCUCAACUGAGUGUCGGGGGCUCCUUUUCUCUGUUGUCCCCCAUAGCUGUGCCAUGUAGAAGGCAGUGAUUCGCCCUUCAACUUUUGCAAAUGAAAAUGGAGGAUAUGUCUCUGUCGGC